Molecule: ribosomal RNA, 799 nt
Filed under: uncultured bacterium
Lineage: Bacteria
Description: bacterial SSU rRNA
Rfam family: Bacterial small subunit ribosomal RNA
Source: RNAcentral
GAGUUUGAUCCUGGCUCAGGACGAACGCUGGCGGCAUGCCUAAUACAUGCAAGUCGAACGCACGAAGUUGAAAAGCUUGCUUUUCGACCAAGUGAGUGGCGGACGGGUGAGUAACACGUGGGUAACCUGCCCAUAAGAGGGGGAUAACAUUCGGAAACGGAUGCUAAUACCGCAUAUUUCAAGUGACCGCAUGGUCGCUUGAUGAAAGGUGGCUUUGGCUACCACUUAUGGAUGGACCCGCGGUGCAUUAGUUAGUUGGUGAGGUAAUGGCUCACCAAGACCAUGAUGCAUAGCCGACCUGAGAGGGUGAUCGGCCACACUGGGACUGAGACACGGCCCAGACUCCUACGGGAGGCAGCAGUAGGGAAUCUUCCGCAAUGGACGAAAGUCUGACGGAGCAAUGCCGCGUGAGUGAAGAAGGUUUUCGGAUCGUAAAACUCUGUUGUUAGAGAAGAACAAGGAUGAGAGUAACUGCUCAUCCCCUGACGGUAUCUAACCAGAAAGCCACGGCUAACUACGUGCCAGCAGCCGCGGUAAUACGUAGGUGGCAAGCGUUGUCCGGAUUUAUUGGGCGUAAAGCGAGCGCAGGCGGUUCUUUAAGUCUGAUGUGAAAGCCCCCGGCUCAACCGGGGAGGGUCAUUGGAAACUGGAGAACUUGAGUGCAGAAGAGGAGAGUGGAAUUCCAUGUGUAGCGGUGAAAUGCGUAGAUAUAUGGAGGAACACCAGUGGCGAAGGCGACUCUCUGGUCUGUAACUGACGCUGAGGCUCGAAAGCGUGGGGAGCAAACAGGAUUAGAUAC